AACAAAUCUCAACUAUAAAAAGUUGGUUUAUGGGUCUGUUAUAAACAGGUCUUAAAGUUGUACGCUUGUAGGUUGCUUUGUUAAACCAAAACAUAGUAAAAUUCUUUGUUUUAUAAAACUUAGCUUUCUACCUAAAAAUUCUAAG
This 145-nucleotide unclassified non-coding RNA is filed under the name uncultured Ascomycota. Its description in RNAcentral is "sequence contains ITS2". Lineage: Eukaryota; Fungi; Ascomycota. The record is from RNAcentral.